GUGCAUGCUGGGCUAUAAUUUAUGAAACGGAGCCCAGGAAACAACCAAUGGCUUAGCUCCUCCUAACAAGUCCAACUGGAUAUGAAAAGCUGGAAGUGCUGCACAGAGAAAUGAAGAGGAGCUAUGCCACAUAUUAAUCUGCUUAUCGAGGAUUGCUUUCUGUGUAGAGAGGGAAGCAUGCAACAAGGAGAGAGGAAAAAAACAAAGAAAUAUUAUAGCUUCUCUGUUGAAACAUCAGAAUAAAUUUCAAUCAACAGGCGAAUCUUCCAUUGUAGUCAGAUAGC
Non-coding RNA from Phaethon lepturus (White-tailed tropicbird), 284 nucleotides. NCBI's taxonomy places the organism in Eukaryota, Metazoa, Chordata, Aves, Phaethontiformes, Phaethontidae. The record is from Rfam.